Molecule: ribosomal RNA, 808 nt
Filed under: Microbacterium sp. Q34-4
Lineage: Bacteria; Bacillati; Actinomycetota; Actinomycetes; Micrococcales; Microbacteriaceae
Description: bacterial SSU rRNA
Rfam family: Bacterial small subunit ribosomal RNA
Source: RNAcentral
UAGAGUUUGAUCAUGGCUCAGGAUGAACGCUGGCGGCGUGCUUAACACAUGCGAGUCGAACGGUGAACACGGAGCUUGCUUCGUGGGAUCAGUGGCGAACGGGUGAGUAACACGUGAGCAACCUGCCCCUGACUCUGGGAUAAGCGCUGGAAACGGCGUCUAAUACUGGAUACGAGACGUGAUCGCAUGGUCAACGUCUGGAAAGAAUUUCGGUUGGGGAUGGGCUCGCGGCCUAUCAGCUUGUUGGUGAGGUAAUGGCUCACCAAGGCGUCGACGGGUAGCCGGCCUGAGAGGGUGACCGGCCACACUGGGACUGAGACACGGCCCAGACUCCUACGGGAGGCAGCAGUGGGGAAUAUUGCACAAUGGGCGCAAGCCUGAUGCAGCAACGCCGCGUGAGGGAUGACGGCCUUCGGGUUGUAAACCUCUUUUAGCAGGGAAGAAGCGAAAGUGACGGUACCUGCAGAAAAAGCGCCGGCUAACUACGUGCCAGCAGCCGCGGUAAUACGUAGGGCGCAAGCGUUAUCCGGAAUUAUUGGGCGUAAAGAGCUCGUAGGCGGUUUGUCGCGUCUGCUGUGAAAUCCCGAGGCUCAACCUCGGGCCUGCAGUGGGUACGGGCAGACUAGAGUGCGGUAGGGGAGAUUGGAAUUCCUGGUGUAGCGGUGGAAUGCGCAGAUAUCAGGAGGAACACCGAUGGCGAAGGCAGAUCUCUGGGCCGUAACUGACGCUGAGGAGCGAAAGGGUGGGGAGCAAACAGGCUUAGAUACCCUGGUAGUCCACCCCGUANACGUUGGGAACUAGUUGUGGG